GACGAACGCUGGCGGCGUGCUUAACACAUGCAAGUCGAACGGAAAGGCCCUGCUUUUGUGGGGUGCUCGAGUGGCGAACGGGUGAGUAACACGUGAGUAACCUGCCCUUGACUUUGGGAUAACUUCAGGAAACUGGGGCGAAUACCGGAUAGGAUCUCCUGCUGCAUGGGGUGGGUUGGAAAGUUUCGGCGGUUGGGGAUGGUCUCGCGGCUUAUCAGCUUGUUUGGGGGGUAGGGGCUUACCAAGGCUUUGACGGGUAGCCGGCCUGGGAGGGUGGCCGGCCACCUUGGGACUGCGAUACGGCCCAGACUCCUACGGGAGGCAGCAGUGGGGAAUAUUGCACAAUGGGCGGAAGCCUGAUGCAGCAACGCCGCGUGCGGGAUGACGGCCUUCGGGUUGUAAACCGCUUUCGCCUGUGACGAAGCGUGAGUGACGGUAAUGGGUAAAGAAGCACCGGCUAACUACGUG
Molecule: ribosomal RNA, 468 nt
Filed under: uncultured bacterium
Lineage: Bacteria
Description: partial 16S ribosomal RNA
Rfam family: Bacterial small subunit ribosomal RNA
Source: RNAcentral